This 279-nucleotide ribosomal RNA is filed under the name uncultured bacterium. RNAcentral describes it as "partial 16S ribosomal RNA". It matches the Rfam family "Bacterial small subunit ribosomal RNA", at positions 506 to 784 of the family's 1533-position model. The record is from RNAcentral.
UGCCAGCAGCCGCGGUAAUACGUAGGGUGCAAGCGUUGUCCGGAUUUAUUGGGUUUAAAGGGUGCGCAGGCGGUCUAUUAAGUUAGUGGUGAAAUCGUACGGCUUAACCGUAUACCCGCCAUUGAUACUGGUAGACUUGAGUGCAAUAGAGGAAGCUGGAAUGCGUGGUGUAGCGGUGAAAUGCUUAGAUAUCACGCAGAACACCGAUUGCGAAGGCAGGCUUCUAUGUUGCAUCUGACGCUGAGGCACGAAAGCGUGGGUAGCGAACAGGAUUAGAUA